RNAcentral lists this ribosomal RNA (473 nucleotides) under uncultured bacterium. RNAcentral describes it as "partial 16S ribosomal RNA". It matches the Rfam family "Bacterial small subunit ribosomal RNA", at positions 28 to 507 of the family's 1533-position model. The record is from RNAcentral.
GACGAACGCUGGCGGCGUGCUUAACACAUGCAAGUCGACCGGUAGGGCCCUUUGGGGGUUCCCCGACGGGCGACGGGUGGAGUACCAGUGGGGAAUUCUUCCCUCCCUUCGGGGUCACCCCCGGUAACGGGGGGCAAUUCCCGAUAACACCCCGUCUUCCCUUCGGGUGCGGGCGGAAGGUCUUUUGGCUAAGGGUGGGCUCGCGGGCCUUUAGCCUGUUGGCGGGGUAACGGGCUACCCAGGCCUCGACGGGUAGCCCGGCUGAGAGGGUGAACGGCCACACUGGGACUGAGACACGGCCCAGACGCCUACGGGAGGCAGCAGUGGGGAAUAGUGGACAAUGGGCGAAAGCCUGAUCCAGCAACGCCGCGUGAGGGAUGACGGCCUUCGGGUUGUAAACCGCUUUCAGUACCGACGAAGCGCCCGGUCGGGUGGUGACGGUAGGUACAGAAGAAGGACCGGCCAACUACGUG